Molecule: ribosomal RNA, 871 nt
Filed under: Russula polyphylla
Lineage: Eukaryota; Fungi; Basidiomycota; Agaricomycetes; Russulales; Russulaceae
Description: eukaryotic LSU rRNA
Rfam family: Eukaryotic large subunit ribosomal RNA
Source: RNAcentral
AUUCCCCUAGUAACUGCGAGUGAAGCGGGAAAAGCUCAAAUUUAAAAUCUGGUGGCCUCUGGUCGCUCGAGUUGUAAUUUAGAGAAGCGUCUUCCGCGCUGGACCGUGCACAAGUCUCCUGGAAUGGAGCGUCAUAGAGGGUGAGAAUCCCGUCUUUGGCACGGACGCACCAGGGCUUUUGUGAUGCGCUCUCGAAGAGUCGAGUUGUUUGGGAAUGCAGCUCAAAAUGGGUGGUGAACUCCAUCUAAAGCUAAAUAUUGGCGAGAGACCGAUAGCGAACAAGUACCGUGAGGGAAAGAUGAAAAGCACUUUGGAAAGAGAGUGAAACAGUACGUGAAAUUGUUGAAAGGGAAACGCUUAAAGUCAGUCGCGUCGACCGAGACUCAACCUCGCCUUGGCUUGGUGUACUUCUCGGCCGACGGGUCAGCAUCAAUUUUUCCCUUCGGAUAAUGGCAAGGGAAAGGUAGCACCUUUACGGGUGUGUUAUAGUCUCCUGUCGCAUGCGAGGGGUAGGAUUGAGGAACUCAGCACGCGCCUCUUGGUGUCGGGGCCUUGUUGCCCACGCUACGUGCUUAGGAUGCUGGCGUAAUGGCUUUAAACGACCCGUCUUGAAACACGGACCAAGGAGUCUAACAUGCCCGCGAGUGUUCGGGUGGAAAACCCGUGCGCGUAAUGAAAGUGAAAGUUGGGACCUCUGUCGUGGAGGGCACCGACGCCCGGACCAGACCUUCUGUGACGGAUCUGCGGUAGAGCGUGCAUGUUGGGACCCGAAAGAUGGUGAACUAUGCCUGAAUAGGGUGAAGCCAGAGGAAACUCUGGUGGAGGCUCGUAGCGAUUCUGACGUGCAAAUCGAUCGUCAAAUUUGGGUAUA